AGCAGCCGCGGUAAUUCCAGCUCCAAUAGCGUAUAUAAAGUGUGCAGUAAAAGCUCGUAUGAAUUCGGGAUUGACGUGAUGGUCGUGCCUUACGGGGUAUGAACUGUUGCAGUCAAUUCUCACCUUCUGGAGAAAUAUGAUGUCCUUAAUUGGGUGUCAUAUGGAACCAGAACUUUUCCUUGAAAAAUUAGAGUGUUUAAAGCAGGCUUAUUGCUCGAAUACAUUAGCAUGGAAUA
RNAcentral lists this ribosomal RNA (236 nucleotides) under uncultured Glomeromycotina. RNAcentral's name for it is "partial small subunit ribosomal RNA". It matches the Rfam family "Eukaryotic small subunit ribosomal RNA", at positions 569 to 816 of the family's 1831-position model. Lineage: Eukaryota; Fungi; Glomeromycota. The record is from RNAcentral.